UUCGAAGGGAGCUAGCGUUGUUCGGAAUUACUGGGCGUAAAGGGCGCGUAGGCGGUUUAGUAAGUCAGAUGUGAAAGCCCCGGGCUUAACCUGGGAACAGCAUUUGAUACUGCUAGACUAGAGAUCGAAAGAGGAGAGUGGAAUUGCGAGUGUAGAGGUGAAAUUCGUAGAUAUUCGCAGGAACACCAGUGGCGAAGGCGACUCUCUGGUUCGAUACUGACGCUAAGGCGCGAAAGCGUGGGGAGCAAACAGG
This 253-nucleotide ribosomal RNA is filed under the name uncultured bacterium. Its description in RNAcentral is "partial 16S ribosomal RNA". It matches the Rfam family "Bacterial small subunit ribosomal RNA", at positions 524 to 776 of the family's 1533-position model. The record is from RNAcentral.